AACGAACGCUGGCGGCAGGCUUAACACAUGCAAGUCGAGCGCCCCGAAAGGGGAGCGGCAGACGGGUGAGUAACGCGUGGGAAUGUGCCCUUUGGUCUGGAAUUACUCAGGGAAACUUGAGCUAAUACCGGAUAAGCCCUUCGGGGGAAAGAUUUAUUGCCAUUGGAGCAGCCCGCGUCAGAUUAGCUAGUUGGUGAGGUAAAAGCUCACCAAGGCGAUGAUCUGUAGCUGGUCUGAGAGGACGACCAGCAACACUGGGACUGAGCCACGGCCCAGACUCCUACGGGAUGAAGGAGUGGGGAAUAUUGGACAAUGGGGGCAACCCUGAUCCAGCCAUGCCGCGUGAGUGAUGAAGACCUUAGGGUUGUAAAGCUCUUUUACUCGGGAAGAUAAUGACUGUACCGAGAGAAUAAGCCCCGGCUAACUUCGUGCCAGCCGCCGCCGUAA
This 447-nucleotide ribosomal RNA is filed under the name uncultured bacterium. RNAcentral describes it as "partial 16S ribosomal RNA". It matches the Rfam family "Bacterial small subunit ribosomal RNA", at positions 29 to 523 of the family's 1533-position model. The record is from RNAcentral.